This 496-nucleotide ribosomal RNA is filed under the name Nitrospira sp. RNAcentral's name for it is "partial 23S ribosomal RNA". It matches the Rfam family "Bacterial large subunit ribosomal RNA", at positions 2433 to 2925 of the family's 2925-position model. Lineage: Bacteria; Pseudomonadati; Nitrospirota; Nitrospiria; Nitrospirales; Nitrospiraceae. The record is from RNAcentral.
GUGGAAGGGCCAUCGCUCAACGGAUAAAAGGUACGCCGGGGAUAACAGGCUGAUCUCCCCCAAGAGUUCACAUCGACGGGGAGGUUUGGCACCUCGAUGUCGACUCAUCGCAUCCUGGGGCUGAAGCGGGUCCCAAGGGUCGGGCUGUUCGCCCGUUAAAGCGGUACGAGAGUUGGGUUCAGAACGUCGUGAGACAGUUCGGUCCCUAUCUGUUGUGGGCGUAGGAGAUUUGAGAGGGUCUGUCUCUAGUACGAGAGGAUUGAGAUGGACGGACCUCUAGUGUGCCGGUUGUCGCGCCAGCGGCAGCGCCGGGUAGCUAUGUUCGGUUUGGAUAACCGCUGAAAGCAUCUAAGCGGGAAGCCAGCCUCAAGACAAGAUCUCCCGGAGGGUAACCUCCCUAAAGGCCACUCGUAGACGACGAGUUUGAUAGGCUGGAUGUGGAAGAGCUGUAAGGCUUGAAGCUAACCAGUACUAAUCGGCCGUGCGACUUAACAUC